CAGCCUGAGCCGGCGUGUCGGUGCCGAGGCUGGGCUGCAGCUCCUGGUGUCUGCGUCCCACUGGGAUUCUCCUGCGAUUGUUCAUUCACCAGAAAUGGCGUUAGAGCGUUCAUGGUGAUGGUGCUUCAAGUUCCCAAACGCCGGGAUGAGAACUGGACCUGCACAGAGAUCGUGCACCCUUCUCCAGUUCCCAACGGACUGUGAAUCAGGUUUGGUUUCUCCAUGCACAUGAAUGAGUUGGUAUCCCAUGGAAUUGAAUACAAGAUAACUCAAGAUAAGGGGACACAUGCUAAUGCUCCUAGUUUAGUUAUCCCUGUGGUCUCAGCUCCUUUCCAAGAGGCGAUGCAUGUUUUGCCAAGUUCAUGCAGAUGUGGGAGUAGGCGCCUUGAGUGCGGCAUGUUACUCCCCCCUAUUCACAAAUAUAUACAUGCCACCAUGGGAAGUGUGCAAUUAAGCAUUGCCAAUCUUGGACCUUUUAAUAUUGCAAAACCAAAGGGUAUCCAGAUGCCUUCAUUUGAAAUGAUAAUUGCCCCUUAUGGGGUUAACG
Triticum dicoccoides is the source of this 547-nucleotide long non-coding RNA. RefSeq lists it as uncharacterized. The transcript is spliced from 3 exons. The record is from RefSeq and is a predicted model, not a curated record. Lineage: Eukaryota; Viridiplantae; Streptophyta; Magnoliopsida; Poales; Poaceae.